GUUCCAGAGACGAGCAAGAAGGAUGGGAAUGGUGGUUCAGUAAUUUGGUCUCAUCGCGCGCGAAUUAUUGGAGGUUAGUGACGGGUUGAGUUCUGCUCAGUUCCUGCUUGGACGCCAGAUUAUCCGCCAAACUGGUAGACAGCAGCAGGUUGGCAUUUUGGUGAUUCCAAGCAACGCUUAUCUCGGUGUGGAACAAGUUGUGCUGCGUGAGCCACGAAAAUUUCCUACUGAAAGCCCCACGAAACGAUGUGAGAAGGCGAGUUCCCAAGUCUUAACCAGCCAUAGUUCAACAGACGCGCAAAAAGGAUGGGAACAGUUUCAUAAUUUGGUCUCGUCGCGCGAUUUAUUGGAGCUUGGAGGUCUUCACGACGACUAUAGUUCCGAGUUCCUAAUUGGACGCCAGAUUAUCCGUCACACAUGUAGACAGAAGCA
Long non-coding RNA from Triticum aestivum (bread wheat), 432 nucleotides. RefSeq lists it as uncharacterized. NCBI's taxonomy places the organism in Eukaryota, Viridiplantae, Streptophyta, Magnoliopsida, Poales, Poaceae. The transcript is spliced from 5 exons. The record is from RefSeq and is a predicted model, not a curated record.